CAGUUCCAGAGACUUUUCAAGGCCAUUUACCACACCUCACACUACUACUAUAUACAUAUAGACCAGCGCUCCACUACCUUCACAGACAGGUGCAGGCCCUGGCCUCCCAGUACCCCAACGUGAGGGUGACGCCCUGGAGGAUGGCUACCAUCUGGGGCGGUGCCAGCCUGCUCACCAUGUACCUCCGCAGCAUGGCAGACCUCAUCACCAUGACCGACUGGAGCUGGGACUUCUUCAUCAACCUCAGCGCUGCAGACUACCCCAUCAGGUGACUGGGGUGGAGGUGACAGGGGGGUAGGGGGUGAGGACGGUGGGGGGUAGAGGCUAGCAGCAUGGCAGACCUCAUCACCAUGACCGACUGGAGCUGGGACUUCUUCAUCAACCUAAGCGCUGCAGACUACCCCAUCAGAACCAACAGCCAGCUGGUCGCCUUCCUGUCCAAGUACAGAGACAUGAACUUCAUCAAGUCCCACGGCAGAGACACGCCAGGUGAGAU
Salvelinus sp. IW2-2015 is the source of this 496-nucleotide non-coding RNA. NCBI's taxonomy places the organism in Eukaryota, Metazoa, Chordata, Actinopteri, Salmoniformes, Salmonidae. The record is from RefSeq and is a predicted model, not a curated record.